AUGGAUACACAUGAAGGAGAGACUGACAGCAGCCUGGUGUUCUGCAUUGCCAGCUCGUUAGAAGACAUCACUGGGAAAUUCAAAACAACUCGACUCCAGCAUUAUUACCUUUUUCCAGUUCCCUCAGCACGGAACACCAGAGCCGGAGCAUGCUGAUUGGAUUCCAUUCCUCAGACAGCAGAAGUGUUUAUUAAGCCCACUCUGAGAUAACUGCAGGGCUGAAAAAAAUCCACUCCUUUUUGGGAUGGGAGUGGAAGAAAGGUUUGCAGACAGCAGAUGCGUUUUUUCAAUCUAAUAGAUACCCUACCUGUUCCAAAAAAGUACAAGGCUGUUCUCAGUCUGAUAUGCUUCAGUUUAAACCCAAGACAGAUAGCUCCAAUACAUUAAAUUUUUUAGGAAGAGGGAAAUUAAGGGUAAAGAAAUCCUUAUAGGCCCAAAAUUCUUAAAGCUAAGGACAAUGAGGCAGAAAGACCAUAAGUUCAAGCCCGACCUGAGCUACGCAGCAACACCCUGUCUCAAAAAACUUAAAAAAUAACCCUUAACUUUAAACAAACC
This 555-nucleotide long non-coding RNA is filed under the name Chinchilla lanigera (long-tailed chinchilla). RNAcentral's name for it is "lncRNA (ENSCLAG00000028530.1)". The record is from RNAcentral. Lineage: Eukaryota; Metazoa; Chordata; Mammalia; Rodentia; Chinchillidae.